AGUCUUGGUCUAGGAAGUAUUUUUCCCUAAGGUAAAGUUUCACUAAUCUAGGCUUUUGUAAAGUUUUAAGCAUAGAGUUUCAAAUAGCUAAUUAACUAUGUUGUUGGGGGAACUUGGUUAGGGUUUUUGAAAGGUUUUGAAGGAGUCAAAGCUUAUAGGAAGGUCCAAACCUUAAGCAAGAACACCAAAGAGUAUUGGCUAAGCGUAACUGGACUGAACGUUGGAGGGUGAAAACCUGCUGAGCGCUAAGGACUCCAAGUAAGGGCAAGGGCAAGGCAGAGCAGUGAGCGCUGGAGUCUUCCUUGCAAAUGUACAUGUGGACCGACCUUUUGGGAAGCCGUUUUAUUUUUGGAAAUGUUGUGUAAUUUUCCUAAACUAGGCUCACUCUACUCUUUAUAAAACAUGUUUGUAACUAAAUGUUAAG
Molecule: long non-coding RNA, 424 nt
Organism: Humulus lupulus (European hop)
Lineage: Eukaryota; Viridiplantae; Streptophyta; Magnoliopsida; Rosales; Cannabaceae
Exons: 3
Source: RefSeq, a predicted model, not a curated record